RNAcentral lists this ribosomal RNA (460 nucleotides) under uncultured bacterium. Its description in RNAcentral is "partial 16S ribosomal RNA". It matches the Rfam family "Bacterial small subunit ribosomal RNA", at positions 338 to 795 of the family's 1533-position model. The record is from RNAcentral.
CCUACGGGUGGCAGCAGUGAGGAAUAUUGGUCAAUGGACGAGAGUCUGAACCAGCCAAGUAGCGUGAAGGAUGACUGCCCUAUGGGUUGUAAACUUCUUUUAUAUGGGAAUAAAAUGUUUCACGUGUGGGAUUUUGUAUGUACCAUAUGAAUAAGGAUCGGCUAACUCCGUGCCAGCAGCCGCGGUAAUACGGAGGAUCCGAGCGUUAUCCGGAUUUAUUGGGUUUAAAGGGAGCGUAGGUGGAUUGUUAAGGCAGUUGUGAAAGUUUGCGGCUCAACCGUAAAAUUGCAGUUGAAACUGGCAGUCUUGAGUACAGUAGAGGUGGGCGGAAUUCGUGGUGUAGCGGUGAAAUGCUUAGAUAUCACGAAGAACUACGAUUGCGAAGGCAGUUCACUGGACUGCAACUGACGCUGAGGCUCGAAAGUGUGGGUAUCAAACAGGAUUAGAUACCCCUGUAGUC